Molecule: ribosomal RNA, 593 nt
Filed under: Aspergillus flavus
Lineage: Eukaryota; Fungi; Ascomycota; Eurotiomycetes; Eurotiales; Aspergillaceae
Description: eukaryotic LSU rRNA
Rfam family: 5.8S ribosomal RNA (bases 212-365)
Source: RNAcentral
UCCGUAGUGAACCUGCGGAAGGAUCAUUACCGAGUGUAGGGUUCCUAGCGAGCCCAACCUCCCACCCGUGUUUACUGUACCUUAGUUGCUUCGGCGGGCCCGCCAUUCGUGGCCGCCGGGGGCUCUCAGCCCCGGGCCCGCGCCCGCCGGAGACACCACGAACUCUGUCUGAUCUAGUGAAGUCUGAGUUGAUUGUAUCGCAAUCAGUUAAAACUUUCAACAAUGGAUCUCUUGGUUCCGGCAUCGAUGAAGAACGCAGCGAAAUGCGAUAACUAGUGUGAAUUGCAGAAUUCCGUGAAUCAUCGAGUCUUUGAACGCACAUUGCGCCCCCUGGUAUUCCGGGGGGCAUGCCUGUCCGAGCGUCAUUGCUGCCCAUCAAGCACGGCUUGUGUGUUGGGUCGUCGUCCCCUCUCCGGGGGGGACGGGCCCCAAAGGCAGCGGCGGCACCGCGUCCGAUCCUCGAGCGUAUGGGGCUUUGUCACCCGCUCUGUAGGCCCGGCCGGCGCUUGCCGAACGCAAAUCAAUCUUUUCCAGGUUGACCUCGGAUCAGGUAGGGAUACCCGCUGAACUUAAGCAUAUCAAUAAGCGGAGGA